UCGGGACAGGGAUGGGGACGGGGAUGGGGAUCGGGACAGGGAUGGGGACCGGGACGGGGACAGCCCCGUGUCCCACCGGCACUGCCUCGUUACCCCCAGCUUCGGCUCCAAGGAACACAUCCAGACGGCUCCGGAACUCUCGCAGAGGAGCCACCUCAAACAUUGUGAAAACAGGAGAUAUACUGCAAUGCUCAGAAAUUGGUAAGGUUUAAUCAAUGGGAAAUCCAACAUUCAAACACUUGGAAUACGGAGGAACAACAGAAACGUAGCAAAAAAUGGUCUGGAAUGUUGGAAUCCUCCACCUCAAGCUUUCCACGCAUAAAGAAAACAGAACAAG
Parus major (Great Tit) is the source of this 337-nucleotide long non-coding RNA. RefSeq lists it as uncharacterized. The transcript has 2 exons. Lineage: Eukaryota; Metazoa; Chordata; Aves; Passeriformes; Paridae. The record is from RefSeq and is a predicted model, not a curated record.